RNAcentral lists this ribosomal RNA (539 nucleotides) under uncultured bacterium. RNAcentral's name for it is "bacterial SSU rRNA". It matches the Rfam family "Bacterial small subunit ribosomal RNA", at positions 86 to 642 of the family's 1533-position model. The record is from RNAcentral.
AAUGACUGAGCGGCGAACGGGUGAGUAACGCGUGAGCAAUCUACCUUAGUUACAGGGAUAGCCCGAGGAAACUCGGAUUAAUACCUGAUAUUCUUUAUAUUUCGCAUGAAAUUAAAAGGAAAGGUCAGCCGAACUAAGAUGAGCUCGCGUUCUAUCAGCUAGUUGGUGAGGUAAAAGCUCACCAAGGCUACGACGGAUAGCUGGUCUGAGAGGACGAUCAGCCACACUGGGACUGAGACACGGCCCAGACUCCUACGGGAGGCUGCAGCAGGGAAUAUUGCGCAAUGAGCGAAAGCUUGACGCAGCGACACCGCGUGUGGGAUGACGGAUCUAGGUUUGUAAACCACUUUCAGGAGGGAAGAAAAUGACGGUACCUCCACAAGAAGCCCCGGCCAACUACGUGCCAGCAGCCGCGGUAAUACGUAGGGGGCGAGCGUUGUCCGGAUUUAUUGGGCGUAAAGAGCUCGUAGGCGGUUCAACAAGUCGGUCGUGAAAGUUCAGGGCUCAACCCUGAAAUGUCGAUCGAUACUGUUGUGACU